Molecule: ribosomal RNA, 253 nt
Filed under: uncultured bacterium
Lineage: Bacteria
Description: partial 16S ribosomal RNA
Rfam family: Bacterial small subunit ribosomal RNA
Source: RNAcentral
UACGAAGGGGGCUAGCGUUGUUCGGAUUUACUGGGCGUAAAGCGCACGUAGGCGGAACUUUAAGUCAGGGGUGAAAUCCCGAGGCUCAACCUCGGAACUGCCUUUGAUACUGGGGAUCUUGAGUCCGGGAGAGGUGAGUGGAACUGCGAGUGUAGAGGUGAAAUUCGUAGAUAUUCGCAAGAACACCAGUGGCGAAGGCGGCUCACUGGCCCGGUACUGACGCUGAGGUGCGAAAGCGUGGGGAGCAAACAGG